GAACGCGAAGAACCUUACCUGGGCUUGACAUACACCGGAUCGCUGCAGAGAUGUAGUUUCCCUUGUGGCUGGUGUACAGGUGGUGCAUGGUUGUCGUCAGCUCGUGUCGUGAGAUGUUGGGUUAAGCCCCGCAACGAGCGCAACCCUUGUCUUAUGUUGCCAGCAUUUGGUUGGGGACUCAUGAGAGACUGCCGGGGUUAACUCGGAGGAAGGUGGGGAUGACGUCAAAUCAUCAUGCCCCUUAUGUCCAGGGCUUCACACAUGCUACAAUGGUCGGUACAACGCGCAGCGAGCCUGUGAGGGUGAGCGAAUCGCUCUAAAGCCGGUCGUAGUUCGGAUUGGGGUCUGCAACUCGACCCCAUGAAGUCGGAGUCGCUAGUAAUCGCAGAUCAGCAACGCUGCGGUGAAUACGUUCCCGGGUCUUGUACACACC
This 433-nucleotide ribosomal RNA is filed under the name uncultured bacterium. RNAcentral's name for it is "bacterial SSU rRNA". It matches the Rfam family "Bacterial small subunit ribosomal RNA", at positions 957 to 1391 of the family's 1533-position model. The record is from RNAcentral.